UACGAGGGGUGCAAGCGUUAUUCGGAUUUACUGGGCGUAAAGGGUGUGUAGGCGGUAUGUUAAGUCAACUGUUAAAUUCUCCAGCCUAACUGGAGGCAAGCGGUAGAAACUGGCGUACUUGAGGAUGGAAGAGAGAAGUGGAAUUCUCGGAGUAGCGGUAAAAUGCGUAGAUCUCGAGAGGAACACCGAUGGCGAAGGCAGCUUCUUGGUCCAUUUCUGACGCUGAGACACGAAAGCGUGGGGAGCAAACAGG
RNAcentral lists this ribosomal RNA (253 nucleotides) under uncultured bacterium. RNAcentral describes it as "partial 16S ribosomal RNA". It matches the Rfam family "Bacterial small subunit ribosomal RNA", at positions 524 to 776 of the family's 1533-position model. The record is from RNAcentral.